AAUGAGUUCACCAUUUUUAUUUUCCCUUAUCAUGUUUCUACCACCUGCUUUCUAUAAUCAGAGUCUUGGAAAACAUGGAGAGGGCACUCUAUUAAAGAGCACUUUAUACAAAUAUUAGAUGUGGGUUUUUAUUUGUUUGUUCUAUUCAUCUUGUGGCAGUAAAUUCAUGCACAGUCUCCAUGAAUCUGAUGCACAAAAAGCCAGAUCAUCCUAGUCAUACAAAAAUCCAGCAGCCAAAUGUUCCAAAAUCAACUUGUCCCACAUGAUACCUAUUUUUAGUGGUGUUUGAAGCUUCCUAUUAGAAGCCUCAAUGUAAGGGUAUGAACAAAAGCAUGUGUUCAAAGAAUUUGGUGCAGUCAAACAUGGAAACUAAAGAAGGUAAAGCCAACUCAUGUUGACAUUGACUUGGAAAAAAGAAUAUUUGGUGGUUGGUUUUCAAACCAACAGAGUUAGAUGGCAAUUCAAUGUACUAGCAGCCAAUAAAAACAUUGAUUCACCUAACUUUU
Molecule: long non-coding RNA, 506 nt
Organism: Vicia villosa (hairy vetch)
Lineage: Eukaryota; Viridiplantae; Streptophyta; Magnoliopsida; Fabales; Fabaceae
Exons: 3
Source: RefSeq, a predicted model, not a curated record